GCUAGCUAUGUCAGCGUGAGAGCUUCUCCCAUUGCUGUAGUUAAUCCACCUCCCCAAGAGGCAGUAGCUAUGUGGAUGGGAGAAGCCCACCUGUCGAUAUAGCACUGUCUACACUGGGGAUUAGGUUGGCAUAACUGUGCCACUUGGGGGUGCAGAUUUUCCACACCCCUGAGUGACAUCGUUAUACCAACAUAAGUUACUUGUUUAGACCAAGCCUCAGAAAAGAAUGAAAUAAUUGCAAGGCAGACCCAUCUACUUGCAUUCAGGUCUGUGUGGUUUUGAAGGUAUCAAUGGGAGUUUGACAUUUACUUCAACAGAGACAGGAUAUCACCUCAUAUUUUUUUACAUCGGUAAGAGAUCAGUGACCAGUGCUAGUAAUGCAGUCCCGUUACAGUAACAAGGUCUGAAGUCAGAUUGACAAGAGGCAAGGAGAUCUGAGUCCUCCUCCUGUACUCUGAGAAUUGUCUCAUUACAACCUUAUCCAUAAUCUUAACCAAAAAUGGAAAACUAGAUACUAUGCAAUAUCUGGCCAGUGUCAAGUGACAGUUUCUUGAGCCACUGUUACACAUUUUUCUUUUAAAGCUCUCAGCAUUUGGCCGUUCCUUAAGUAUAGACGAUUUUCACGAGCAAAGGAUACAGUAUUUUCCUGAACCUUCACCAGAAAGAAAAGGCAUGAGUCCAAAAAACAGGUUUUGGAGCAAAGUUCUCUCAGUAUAUCCAGAAAUUUAAGGAAAUAAAUUAGUAUAUCAGUUACAGAUUACUUUGAGUUUCUUAGGCAAAUCAUUUGGGCAUAUUGUGAAAGUGUGUAUCAACUUUCCUUUAAGGAAGUGCAUUCAACAUUAGAAUGGGGGAAGCAAGCAAUAUCUUCCUGGCACAAUUGAGGCAUAGAGGUCACAGAUCAAAUUCUGCCGUGAUUAACAAUGCAUUAAAUCCCAUUAAUUUUAAAUAGGGUUUCACGGAAUGUAGGUCAGCACUGAAUUUGGCCAUAAUGUAUAUAUUCUAUCAAUUAGAAUGAUUCAGUUGUAGGCCAAUCAGACACAAUAUAUGUGCUUGGUGUUCCAGAGUGGCAAUAACAUCAGUCUAAAUAUAUUGAUUGUUAAAAUCGUAUGGUUUACAAAAUUGUAUAAAUAGGAAAAGUUAAAGACUAAAACAUUUUGACCUUCUGGCCAGAUUCACUGAAGAGCCAAAGUUUAUGGUUGCUUUGUGUCACUAGACUGAUGCAAAGCAGCUGAAGCAAACAAGUGAAUCUGACCCUCUUGACUUAUGAAAAGUAGAUGCACAUCUGUUACAUAUUUCUGCAAUUUCUUUUUUAAACCAAAGUAAACUUUUGGGUGCACAACUAGCUAAUGCCUUGUACUGGUCCAUGUAUUUUAUGUACCAAAACAGUUUCCAACCAGACUUGCAGAAUCAGGCCUUUUCAUAUAUUCUAAAGCCAAAAGGGACCACUGUGAUAUCUAUUCGGGCCUCCUGCAAAGUCCAGGCAGUAGGAUUUACCUGAAAUAAUUCCUUUUUGAACUACAGCCUAUAUUUUAGAAAAGCAUGCAGUCUUGAUUUCCGGUGAUGGAGAGUCCACCACAAUCUUUGGUGAGUUGUUCCAAAAAUGUAUGCUUUAUUUGCAAUCUGAAUUUGUCUAUCUUCAACUUUCAGCCAUUGGAUUUCGUUUUAUAUUUGUCUGCUAGAUUAAAAAGCCAGUUAUCAAAUUUCUGUUCCGCAGAAUGUACCUACAGAUUGUGAACUAGUCACCCCUUAACCUUUCUUUGUUAAACUAAAUAGGUUGAGCUCCUGUCACUACAGGACAUGGUUUUCCAAUCUCUCAAAUAUUUUCAUGGUUCUUCUUUGAACCCUCUCUAAUUUAUCAACAUCGUUCUUGAAUUGUAGACACCAGAACUGGACACACAGUUUUCCAGUAGUGCUUGCACAGUGCCAAAUACAAAGGAGAGCUGUACUUUCUUUAUGAAAGUGAUUAGAGGAGAAAGAGCUUUCUAAGAGAACUGCUUUCCUAAAACUCAGACUGGAGAAGGUUCUGUGAGACCAAAGAGCUGUCUGAUGACCCAGCAGAGACAGCUGUAUGAUCUAUUGAAUUCCAUUCUUUGGUGAAUCUUUCUGUUUUUAAUUUAAAAUAAAUAGAUACAAUUAAUUAAGAUAAUCCAGGUGAGUUCUUGUGAUUGAUUUUUUCUCAUUUGUAAAUUCCUAUUUUCUAUGAAAAUAGCAAACACAGUGUAAUUAAUUAAUUAAAAACACCUUCUCUUUCCUUCUUUCUCACUUCCUUCCAAUGCA
Molecule: long non-coding RNA, 2277 nt
Organism: Chelonoidis abingdonii (Abingdon island giant tortoise)
Lineage: Eukaryota; Metazoa; Chordata; Testudines; Testudinidae
Source: RefSeq, a predicted model, not a curated record